UACGUAGGUCCCGAGCGUUGUCCGGAUUUAUUGGGCGUAAAGCGAGCGCAGGCGGUUUGAUAAGUCUGAAGUAAAAGGCUGUGGCUUAACCAUAGUACGCUUUGGAAACUGUCAAACUUGAGUGCAGAAGGGGAGAGUGGAAUUCCAUGUGUAGCGGUGAAAUGCGUAGAUAUAUGGAGGAACACCGGUGGCGAAAGCGGCUCUCUGGUCUGUAACUGACGCUGAGGCUCGAAAGCGUGGGGAGCAAACAGG
This 252-nucleotide ribosomal RNA is filed under the name uncultured bacterium. RNAcentral's name for it is "partial 16S ribosomal RNA". It matches the Rfam family "Bacterial small subunit ribosomal RNA", at positions 524 to 776 of the family's 1533-position model. The record is from RNAcentral.